GCAUAUCAAUAAGCGGAGGAAAAGAAACUAACAAGGAUUCCCCUAGUAACGGCGAGUGAAGCGGGAAGAGCUCAAAUUUAAAAUCUGGCAGCCUUGUGUUGUCCGAGUUGUAGUCUAGAGAAGCAUCAUCCGUGCUGGACCAUGUACAAGUCUCUUGGAACAGAGCGUCAUAGAGGGUGAGAAUCCCGUCCUUGACAUGGACUCCCAGUACUUUGUGUUGUGCUCUCAACGAGUCGAGUUGUUUGGGAAUGCAGCUCAAAAUGGGUGGUAAAUUCCAUCUAAAGCUAAAUAUUGGCGAGAGACCGAUAGCGAACAAGUACCGUGAGGGAAAGAUGAAAAGCACUUUGGAGAGAGAGUUAAACAGUACGUGAAAUUGUUGAAAUGGAAACGCUUGAAGUCAGUCGCGUUCUCUGGGAUUCAGCCUUGCUUCUGCUUGGUGCAUUUCCUAGUCUACGGGCCAGCAUGAAUUUUGACCAGUGGAAAAAGAUUUGGGGAAUGUGGCACCUUCGGGUGUGUUAUAGCCCCUUGUCAGAUACAUUGGUUGGGAUUGAGGUCUUAGUGCACGCUUCGGUUGUGCUUUGAUGCUGGCGUAAUGGCUUUAAACGACCCGUCUUGAAACACGG
Molecule: ribosomal RNA, 623 nt
Filed under: Ceratobasidium sp. AG-R
Lineage: Eukaryota; Fungi; Basidiomycota; Agaricomycetes; Cantharellales; Ceratobasidiaceae
Description: eukaryotic LSU rRNA
Rfam family: Eukaryotic large subunit ribosomal RNA
Source: RNAcentral